CGGACGGGUGAGUAACACGUGGGUAACCUGCCUAUAAGACUGGGAUAACAUUCGGAAACGAAUGCUAAUACCGGAUACGCGAUUUGGUCGCAUGACCGAAUCGGGAAAGAUGGAGCAAUCUAUCACUUAUAGAUGGACCCGCGGCGCAUUAGCUAGUUGGUGAGGUAACGGCUCACCAAGGCGACGAUGCGUAGCCGACCUGAGAGGGUGAUCGGCCACACUGGGACUGAGACACGGCCCAGACUCCUACGGGAGGCAGCAGUAGGGAAUCUUCCGCAAUGGACGAAAGUCUGACGGAGCAACGCCGCGUGAGUGAUGAAGGUUUUCGGAUCGUAAAGCUCUGUUGCCAGGGAAGAAUGCUUGGGAGAGUAACUGCUCCC
Molecule: ribosomal RNA, 380 nt
Filed under: Paenibacillus sp.
Lineage: Bacteria; Bacillati; Bacillota; Bacilli; Caryophanales; Paenibacillaceae
Description: bacterial SSU rRNA
Rfam family: Bacterial small subunit ribosomal RNA
Source: RNAcentral